GACGAACGCUGGCGGCGUGCUUAACACAUGCAAGUCGAACGGAAAGGCCCUGCUUUUGUGGGGUGCUCGAGUGGCGAACGGGUGAGUAACACGUGAGUAACCUGCCCUUGACUUUGGGAUAACUUCAGGAAACUGGGGCUAAUACCGGAUAGGAGCUCCUGCUGCAUGGUGGGGGUUGGAAAGUUUCGGCGGUUGGGGAUGGACUCGCGGCUUAUCAGCUUGUUGGUGGGGUAGUGGCUUACCAAGGCUUUGACGGGUAGCCGGCCUGAGAGGGUGACCGGCAACAUGGGGAAUGAGAUACGGCCCAGACUCCUACGGGAGGCAGCAGUGGGAAAUAUUGCACAAUGGGCGGGAGCCUGAUGCAGCAACGCCGCGUGCGGGAUGACGGCCUUCGGGUUGUAAACCGCUUUCGGCUGUGAAGAAGCGGGAGUGACGGUAAUGGGUAAAGAAGCACCGGAUAACUACGUG
Molecule: ribosomal RNA, 468 nt
Filed under: uncultured bacterium
Lineage: Bacteria
Description: partial 16S ribosomal RNA
Rfam family: Bacterial small subunit ribosomal RNA
Source: RNAcentral